Molecule: ribosomal RNA, 890 nt
Filed under: uncultured bacterium
Lineage: Bacteria
Description: bacterial SSU rRNA
Rfam family: Bacterial small subunit ribosomal RNA
Source: RNAcentral
AACGAACGCUGGCGGCGUGGAUAAGACAUGCAAGUCGAACGGGGUGCAAGUUGUAGUAAUACAGUUUGCAUCUAGUGGCGAACGGGUGCGUAACACGUGGGCAAUCUGCCGGGAAGUGGGGGAUAACUCGUCGAAAGGCGAACUAAUACCGCAUGUGGCCAGGGAGGACAUCCUUCCGAAGCCAAAGUCGGGGUAACCUGACGCUUUCUGAUGAGCCCGCGGCCUAUCAGCUUGUUGGUGAGGUAACGGCUCACCAAGGCGAUGACGGGUAGCUGGUCUGAGAGGACGACCAGCCACACUGGAACUGAGACACGGUCCAGACACCUACGGGUGGCAGCAGUCGAGAAUUUUUCUCAAUGGGGGAAACCCUGAAGGAGCGACGCCGCGUGGAGGAUGAAGAUUUUCGGAUUGUAAACUCCUGUCAUUGGGGAACAAGGCAACGGAUAGUAACUGAUUUGUUGUUGAUAGUACCCGAAGAGGAAGGGACGGCUAACUCUGUGCCAGCAGCCGCGGUAAUACAGAGGUCCCAAGCGUUGUUCGGAUUCAUUGGGCGUAAAGGGUGCGUAGGCGGCGAGGUAAGUUGGAUGUGAAAUCCCGGGGCUCAACCCCGGAACUGCAUUCGAUACUGCCUUGCUAGAGUUCUGGAGAGGAGAUUGGAAUUCACGGUGUAGCAGUGAAAUGCGUAGAUAUCGUGAGGAAGACCAGUGGCGAAGGCGAAUCUCUGGACAGAUACUGACGCUGAGGCACGAAGGCCAGGGGAGCAAACGGGAUUAGAUACCCCGGUAGUCCUGGCAGUAAACGGUGCACGUUUAGUAUGGGAGGAAUCGACCCCUUCCGUGCUGGAGCUAACGCGUUAAACGUGCCGCCUGGGGAGUACGGUCGCAAGAUUA